RNAcentral lists this ribosomal RNA (410 nucleotides) under uncultured microorganism. RNAcentral describes it as "bacterial SSU rRNA". It matches the Rfam family "Bacterial small subunit ribosomal RNA", at positions 9 to 416 of the family's 1533-position model. The record is from RNAcentral.
GAGUUUGAUCAUGGCUCAGAUUGAACGCUGGCGGCAUGCCUUACACAUGCAAGUCGAACGGCAGCAUGAUCUAGCUUGCUAGAUUGAUGGCGAGUGGCGAACGGGUGAGUAAUACAUCGGAACGUGCCCUGUAGUGGGGAUAACUAGUCGAAAGAUUAGCUAAUACCGCAUACGACCUGAGGGUGAAAGUGGGGGACCGCAAGGCCUCAUGCUAUAGGAGCGGCCGAUGUCUGGUUAGCUAGUUGGUGGGGUAAAGGCCCACCAAGGCGACGAUCAGUAGCUGGUCUGAGAGGACGAUCAGCCACACUGGGACUGAGACACGGCCCAGACUCCUACGGGAGGCAGCAGUGGGGAAUUUUGGACAAUGGGCGAAAGCCUGAUCCAGCAAUGCCGCGUGUGUGAAGAAGGCC